UUGCUUUGGGGGAUUAGUGGCGAACGGGUGAGUAACACGUGAGCAACCUGCCCUUCACUCUGGGAUAAGCGCUGGAAACGGCGUCUAAUACUGGAUAUGAGACACAGCCGCAUGGUUAGUGUUUGGAAAGAUUUUUCGGUGGGGGAUGGGCUCGCGGCCUAUCAGCUUGUUGGUGAGGUAAUGGCUCACCAAGGCGUCGACGGGUAGCCGGCCUGAGAGGGUGACCGGCCACACUGGGACUGAGACACGGCCCAGACUCCUACGGGAGGCAGCAGUGGGGAAUAUUGCACAAUGGGCGGAAGCCUGAUGCAGCAACGCCGCGUGAGGGAUGACGGCCUUCGGGUUGUAAACCUCUUUUAGCAGGGAAGAAGCGUGAGUGACGGUACCUGCAGAAAAAGCGCCGGCUAACUACGUGCCAGCAGCCGCGGUAAUACGUAGGGCGCAAGCGUUAUCCGGAAUUAUUGGGCGUAAAGAGCUCGUAGGCGGUUUGUCGCGUCUGCUGUGAAAUCCCGAGGCUCAACCUCGGGUCUGCAGUGGGUACGGGCAGACUAGAGUGCGGUAGGGGAGAUUGGAAUUCCUGGUGUAGCGGUGGAAUGCGCAGAUAUCAGGAGGAACACCGAUGGCGAAGGCAGAUCUCUGGGCCGUAACUGACGCUGAGGAGCGAAAGGGUGGGGAGCAAACAGGCUUAGAUACCCUGGUAGUCCACCCCGUAAACGUUGGGAACUAGUUGUGGGGUCCUUUCCACGGAUUCCGUGACGCAGCUAACGCAUUAAGUUCCCCGCCUGGGGAGUACGGCCGCAAGGCUAAAACUCAAAGGAAUUGACGGGGACCCGCACAAGCGGCGGAGCAUGCGGAUUAAUUCGAUGCAACGCGAAGAACCUUACCAAGGCUUGACAUACACGAGAACGGGCCAGAAAUGGUCAACUCUUUGGACACUCGUGAACAGGUGGUGCAUGGUUGUCGUCACCUCGUGUCGU
RNAcentral lists this ribosomal RNA (977 nucleotides) under Microbacterium sp. Its description in RNAcentral is "bacterial SSU rRNA". It matches the Rfam family "Bacterial small subunit ribosomal RNA", at positions 79 to 1068 of the family's 1533-position model. Lineage: Bacteria; Bacillati; Actinomycetota; Actinomycetes; Micrococcales; Microbacteriaceae. The record is from RNAcentral.